RNAcentral lists this ribosomal RNA (253 nucleotides) under uncultured bacterium. RNAcentral's name for it is "partial 16S ribosomal RNA". It matches the Rfam family "Bacterial small subunit ribosomal RNA", at positions 524 to 776 of the family's 1533-position model. The record is from RNAcentral.
UACGGAGGGUGCAAGCGUUAUCCGGAUUCACUGGGUUUAAAGGGUGCGUAGGUGGGUUGGUAAGUCAGUGGUGAAAUCUCCGUGCUUAACAUGGAAACUGCCAUUGAUACUACUGAUCUUGAAUUUUCUGGAGGUAAGCGGAAUAUGUCAUGUAGCGGUGAAAUGCUUAGAUAUGACAUAGAACACCAAUGGCGAAGGCAGCUUGCUACAGGGAUAUUGACACUGAGGCACGAAAGCGUGGGGAGCAAACAGG